AGCAGUCGCCGCGGUAAUACGGAGGAUCCGAGCGUUAUCCGGAAUUAUUGGGUUUAAAGGGUGCGUAGGCGGAUAGAUAAGUCAGUGGUGAAAGACGGUGGCUCAACCAUCGCAGUGCCGUUGAUACUGUUUAUCUUGAAUAUGGAUGAGGUAGGCGGAAUGUGGCAAGUAGCGGUGAAAUGCAUAGAUAUGCCACAGAACACCGAUUGCGAAGGCAGCUUACCAAGGCAAAAUUGACGCUGAGGCACGAAAGCGUGGGGAUCGAACAGGAUUAGAUACCCCUGUAGUCCCUGUCUCUUAUAA
This 303-nucleotide ribosomal RNA is filed under the name uncultured bacterium. RNAcentral describes it as "partial 16S ribosomal RNA". It matches the Rfam family "Bacterial small subunit ribosomal RNA", at positions 507 to 809 of the family's 1533-position model. The record is from RNAcentral.